Molecule: small RNA, 28 nt
Filed under: Bombyx mori (domestic silkworm)
Lineage: Eukaryota; Metazoa; Arthropoda; Insecta; Lepidoptera; Bombycidae
Description: ovarian small RNA-25028
Source: RNAcentral
UCACAGUGGAUAAAUUCUUGUGGAGCCA